RNAcentral lists this long non-coding RNA (10695 nucleotides) under Nicotiana benthamiana. Its description in RNAcentral is "long non-coding RNA (NBEN_LNC014901)". Lineage: Eukaryota; Viridiplantae; Streptophyta; Magnoliopsida; Solanales; Solanaceae. The record is from RNAcentral.
UAGAACCCUCUCUCUCUCUCUAAGUUUGCUCUCCCUUCUCUCUAUCCUUGUAAUCUUACUAUUGUAAAAAUCUCUUGUAUUAUAAAUAAAAGAAGUUCAAGAUUUCUACAUACUCCUGGUAGCCAGGUAUUUACUUUUUAUACUUGCUUAAUUUUGUUUAUAUUUGUUUAUAUAAGCCCAAUGAUGGGCUAAAUUGUUAAGUGUUAAAUAAUAACUGAUAUAGCUUGAGGAUGUUCUGAAAGGCGAUGACUCUAAAAUAAGAGCUUGCCUUGAAGGGGUUAAGGUUUUAGCAUGGGUUUAGUUUAAAUAAUUUUAUAGCAAACUAAGCUUAAAUCAUGNNNNNNNNNNNNNNNNNNNNNNNNNNNNNNNNNNNNNNNNNNNNNNNNNNNNNNNNNNNNNNNNNNNNNNNNNNNNNNNNNNNNNNNNNNNNNNNNNNNNNNNNNNNNNNNNNNNNNNNNNNNNNNNNNNNNNNNNNNNNNNNNNNNNNNNNNNNNNNNNNNNNNNNNNNNNNNNNNNNNNNNNNNNNNNNNNNNNNNNNNNNNNNNNNNNNNNNNNNNNNNNNNNNNNNNNNNNNNNNNNNNNNNNNNNNNNNNNNNNNNNNNNNNNNNNNNNNNNNNNNNNNNNNNNNNNNNNNNNNNNNNNNNNNNNNNNNNNNNNNNNNNNNNNNNNNNNNNNNNNNNNNNNNNNNNNNNNNNNNNNNNNNNNNNNNNNNNNNNNNNNNNNNNNNNNNNNNNNNNNNNNNNNNNNNNNNNNNNNNNNNNNNNNNNNNNNNNNNNNNNNNNNNNNNNNNNNNNNNNNNNNNNNNNNNNNNNNNNNNNNNNNNNNNNNCCGAUUAUCAAAAUCCUCAAAAGAGUAACUAAAACGAGAAGAAAGAGUCGCCGGUGUUUGAGUUUCCGUCUAGAUCUAAAGCCAACGAGAUCGAGCACAAUGGGUUAGAUUUGAUUUUAAUUUCACAAUAAAGUUCGAUUUUUCCAUCCAAGAUAAAAUGUCUCUUUUUAUGUUUUUAAAAAGGUGCAAAUCUUGCGUUUUUAAUUGGGUUCAAUCUGAUGACUUUCCUUUUCUCCUUCUUCCUAUUUAUUUACUUUUUUAUGUUUUUGAAUCCACUAAUAAAAAACUAUUUUCAAUUAUUUUAUUUUGUCCAAUUUAGAGGUAAACCAUGUAUUAUAUUUUUAGAUUGUAUUAGAUUGGAGAGCAAAUUUAUUUAUUUUUGAAUAUUGGAAAGAAAAUCUUUCACUAUACAAAAUAUAUAAAUAGACUGCCACUAUACAAAAUUAUACAAAAUAGAUUGUCACUAUAAAAAAAAUAUACAAAAUAGAUAUAACUAUACAAAAUAUAUACAAAAUAGAUGUAACUAUACAAAAUAUUUAUAAAAUAGAUGUAACUAUACAGAAUAAAAAUAAAAAAGGCUGUCAGUAUAUAAAAUGCAUGAUACACUCCAAAUACACAGUGUGUACACAUUACGCAUAUAAAAUUCUAUAUAUAUAUGCGCACAAAUACUUUAUACAUGUAUAUAUGAUUGAACUUUUCUCAACUAUUGUUUUUCCACUUAUAUGAUUGAAAAAGACUAAGUCGAACUUGGAAAUUAACUAAAGAAAGGAGAUGAAAAUCACCAUUAAUUAUGUAUGAGAACUCCUAAGAAAGAAAGCUUUUUGGAGGGAAGGGAAAAACGAUUGGCGUGUGGUUUAUUGGAAAAAUAAGCUUUACUCCUUUGUUUGGUUAUGGAACAACACUUGAUAUUUUUUAAAGUUGAUGUAACAAGUCUUGAUUUUUAUUGUUUUCCAUUGAACAAAAAACUUAAUUGUAAUAUAAUAAGGUAUUACUGCUGGAAAAAUAGUAAAAUAAUUAUUAGCUGAUGAAAAAUUCUUGAUUUUUUAAAAUAACGUUUGAUGUUAAAUCAAAGAAUUUUAGUAGUACUGUUAGGAAUAAAGCGAGGAAAAAUGUGUUAAGAAUUGAAGAAAAGAAGUAAACAAAAUAUAGAAAGAGUAAAAAGUCAAGUAUGAUACUUAAGAAAGAGAAAUAAUUUGGUAUUGGGAAGGAAAAUUAUUUGGGGAAGAUAAAAAAGUAAGAAAUAGAAAAUAAUUUGGUAUACCAAAAUUACCUUUGUCUUUUUGUCUUUUGUCUGUUGGUUUUACCCAAUGAGUUAUAAUUUGAUAUUAGUUUUAUCUAAUGGGAUAUUUCGGGUUAUGUGUAAAUCUUUGGGUUAGUACUUUUCUUUAAUGGCUAUACACGGUAGUUUUCUUAUUUUUAAAUCGUUACGAAUCUUUGUAAUUUCUUUGCAUGGGUAUGUUCUAAAGAAUUUUAUGACAGUUGUAAAAAUAUAAUCCUACUCAAUAGAAUAAGGAUAUCAAAUGAUAUUGUUUUCCCAACUGUCUUGACAGUCAUAUCAACAUAUUGAUAUUCACUAUUCAUGUAAAUUGGCAUAUAUUAAAAGUAACCAUCCAUUAAAAAUGAUAUUAGAUUGAUAACUAACCUUAAAAAUAAUGUAGGCCAUCUAUUACAAUUUAUCAGUGAGAGAAAGAACUCUAAUAUUGAGAAGAACACACGCAGAGAGAGACUUGAAGAAGAAGAAGAAGAAGAAAAAGAAGAAUAAAUGAGAGAAGUGAUUUUCUGUAUAUUCAAUUUAACUGUACAGUUCUAUUUAUACAUGGUGAAAUAUUAAUUACCAACUUCUGAACUAACUGAUGGAUCCUACAGUGCUUCCAAUAACUGAAUGUAAUGACUGUACACUAAUUAACUCCCCUUACUCUCUAUAAUCUUACUCCUCUUGUUUCUACACUCCCCCUCAAGCUAGGUGGUAUAAAGAUAUCAAGUAAACCUAGCUUGGACAAUAAGUACUCAUGUUGUGCUCUAGGAAACCCUUUAGUUAGCACAUCUCCCAAUUGUUCCUUGGUUCCCACAUACUUUGUCUUGACUAACCCCUGCAGUAUUUUUGUCAUAUGAAGUGCCAAUCAAAUUCUAUGUGUUUGGUCCUUUCAUGAAAGACAUGGUUGAAAACUAUUUGCAUGGCUUCCUUACUGUCAGUGUUGAUGGUUACAUGCAAUUUAAACACCACUUGUAUGUCCUUGAGUUAUCCAAAUAUCCAAACUAGUUCAGCUACUGUUGUGGUAAUGCUUCUAUACUUUGAGUCUGCAGAGCUUCUAAAAUGGUACUUUGCUUCUUUGAUUUCUAUGAUAUCAGUGAAUCCCCAUACUUUAUGAAAAACUCAGUCACAAGCUUCCUGGUCAAAGGGCAUGCUGCCCAAUUAACAUCACAGAAGACUGAGAUUAAAACUUUCUUUUGACUUGAUUAGAACACUCCUUGCCUAGGAUGAUUCUUGACAUAUUUGAUCACCCUAAGGACGGCCUCCAAAUGAUAUUUCUUAGGCUUUUACAUAAACUGGUUGAGUGUUUGAACACUGAAUGUAAUGUGUGGCCUUGUUACUGUCAAAUAUAGGAGUUUGCCUAGUAGCCUUUGGUAACUAGUAACAUCUGGUAACAAUGCAUCAUCCAAGUUGUUGGUUAUGCAUGUGUGUUCAUCAUACUCCUGAGUAGUGAGCUUCACAUUUAAUUCAAGAGGCGUAGUAGCAGGCUUUGCAAUACCUAAGCCAAGUUCAGAAAAAGUUCUAAUAUAUAUGUUCUUUGAUGCAUUAGAAUGCCAUAUGAUGACCUUGAAAACUCUAUCCCAAGGACGUAUUUCAACUCCCAUAGGUCCUUCAUCUUAAAGGUCUUAUGUAGUGUUGUUUUAGUAUUUCUUAUAGAGUCAAAUCAGGCCAGUGAUGAGCAUAUCAUCCACAUAGACUAGUACAACAACAAUAAAACUUCCAGUCCCAUGUACAAAUAGAGAGUGAUCAUGUCGACUUUGUAUGAAAUUAAAACUAAUAAAUGAUUCUGAUAGAUUUGUAUUUCAUUGUCUGGGUGCCUGUUUAGGGCCAUGUAAGGAUUUAAAGAGUCUGUAAGUUUGCUUGCUCUCCCCUACCUCUGAAAUUCAUGAGGAAGAGUCAUAUAAAUUUCAUCAGGCAAAUCACCUUGGAGAAAGACAUUGUACACAUCCAUUUGAUGGGUAUGCCAGUGUUCUGAAGUUGCAAUAGAGAGGGUGGUUCUAAUAGUAACCAUCUUAACAGCCGAACUAAAAAUUUCUUGAUAAUCAAUCCUUUCCUGCUGGCUGAACCCCUUGGCCACCAAUCAGACUUUAGACUUUUCAACCUCCCAUAUAGAUUUGUACUUUACCUUGAAUAUUCACUUACAACCAAUAGGCAUCUUGCCUAGAGAAAGUGGUACAACCUCUCAGGUGUGAUUAGCCUCCAUGGUUAGCUAUUUUAAUUUUCAUAGCCUCCACCCACCUUGGGUUUUUGACAACCUCUUCAUAGGAGGUAGGCUCCAUAAUAGUAGAGAUGCUGCAAUGUAAGACUGAUAAAAGGGAGAUAGACUUUCAUAGGAGACAUGAUUGGCAAUGGAACAUGGGGUGUGAGAGUUUGUUGGCUGAAUGACAAAGUCCUUGAGCCAUAAUGGAGGUUAUUUGGUUCUGAGAGAUAUCCUCAGAGUAGGAUAGGGCUCAUUUUCAUUAGACAAAGGACUGGGCCUACCUUCUGACAAAGUAUGGGACAAGUUAUCACCAGUUGGUUGAAUAGGUAAAUUGGUGUGAGAAAAAUGACUGAUAUCUGAGGAUACUUCUUCACAGCUAGAAGGUGAAGAAGGUGACAUGAAUAUGGGAUGAGAGACAGACAGAGAGUCUCUGAAUGGGAUGAUAUCCUCUUUGAGAUUCGGAGAAUUCCAUGAGCGCAACAGGCUUGGCCCUAGGCAUAAGCUUGUUUUUCUCCUUCAUUUGCCUUGCAAAACACAAGCAUCCCAGAGUUCUAAGAUGUCCCAGUAGAGGCUUCCUAUUGUACAACAACUUAUAAGGUGUAUAUACCUUCAAUACUGAGGAUGGCAGUCUGUUAAUCAGAUAUGCUACAGUAAGAACACAAUAACCCAGAACUUAAUGGGAAUGUGAGCUUGAAAUCUUAGAGCUCUGGUGACUUCUAGGAGAUGCUUGUGCUUCCUCUUAACUACUUCAUUCUGUUGAGGAGUGUCGGCACAUGUAGUUUGAUGGAGGAUGCCAAGGUUAUUGAACACAGUUCUACAUACUUCGUUCAAAAAUUUAGUGCCAUUGUCAGACCUUAUCAUCUUGACUGUUUUAUUAACCUGUGUAUGCACAAAGGCAAUGAACUGUGGCAAUAAAACACACACAUCAGAUUUCAAUUUCUGUAGAAAUAUCCAAGUCAUUCAAAUAAAGUCAUCAACCACUAUGAAAAAGUAUCUAUAACAAUCAAAAGUUGCAGUUUUAUAAGGUCCCCAAACAUCUACAUGAAUGAGAUCAAAUGCUACUAGUAGGAAAUGAUGUCCUAGCCUGUUUAGCACAAGGAUAAAUACAACAUUUAUUGAUUGUAUUAUUAAUACUAGCUAGUUUGGCAUAAAAUAGUUUCUUGAGAACAAUAAUGGACACAUGGACAAGUCUCCUAUGCCACAAGGCUAUAUCGGUAGAACUGGUUGAGAAAUCAGUCUUUGAGCUAACCGCUUCCAAAGACACAACAGUCAGUAUUUUAUUUUCAUGUUGCUGUAGGAAGUACAAGCCAUCUCUUUCUCUAUUAAUCUCCUUCACCCUGCCAGUGAAGAGAUCCUGAAAUUCACAAAAACCAGGAUAGAAAAAGUUAAAGCACCUUAAUUCUCUUAUCAUUUUUGACAUUGAUAGCAAGUUGUACUUGAACUGUGGUACAUAGAAUACUUCUUUUAGAAUGUUGCUAUUUGAUAUUUGACUGUCUCCAACAUGAGUCUCCUGAGUGACAUCUCCAUUUGGCAAUAGAACUUUUCUAGAGGAAGAGGGUUCAACUAUAGAAGCUUUAUUUAAUAGAUUAACAUUAGACGCCAUAUGAUUAGUUGCUCCUGUGUCAAUGAUCUACUACUCUUGUAGACUGGUGGAAGCCAGUAAAGCAAUACUAGUAUAUGUUGUAUUAGCUAGAGAAGUAGGUGUAGGACUGUUAUUACUUGCUGAAGAAGAGAUGACUGUGCUGCUGUGCAGAAUAUGCAUAAUCUUAUCAUAUUGUUCCUUGGUGAAAGGAAAGGCACCACAUCCUACAUGUUGUGGUUGUUGUUCCAUACUUGCAGAGUGAUUGUUGUUUUGCAAAGGUUGGAUAGACCUUGACUGCAUAUUAGUAAUCAUCGAACCAGAGUUUGGUUGUUCAUAAGGUUGUGUGUAGGAGCCUAGCUCAGGUAGUGAAUUGUAACCACUAGAAAAUAAGCCAUAUUGAGCUACUAUAUUACAAGCUCCAUCUCCCCCUUUCUUCUUAAACUUUUAGUCUUCUGGAUAGGCAACUAUAUUAUAGCAGUUUUCCUUGCUAUGACACUUUAUCUUGCAGAAUUCACAUUGUAGAUUAAAGUUCUUUCAGUACUUUGGUCUGUUACCAGGCUUAGAACUAUAUAGUGUUGUGGAUUCAUAGUGUCCACCAGUUACAUCAGGCGAAUGACCUAAGAUUCCUGCUGAACCUGCUACUUUUCUCUGACUCUCAACACUAAUUAACAUAGCAUAUGCUUGAUUUAUAGAAGGAACAGGUUUUAUUAUGAGAAUUUGACUACGAUCUUAAGAGUAUGAGUUAUUUAAGCCCAUAAGGAAUUGAUACAACUUUUGUUUGUGAAGGUGUUCAAUGAAUUUCUUAGUUUUAGGGCAGUCACAGCCAGGAUGUGGUACUAGGUCUUCAGUCUCAUCCCAUAGGUCCUUGAGUUGGAAUGAUACACAGAGAUAGAUGAGAUACCUUGUGUUAGGGUUGCAAUUUUCUUGUGUAGGUUAUAUAAUCUAGUGUCAUUCACUUUGUCAAAGAGUUCUUGCAAAUCCAUCCAUACAAUAUAUGCACUGGUCGCAUAUGCAAUUCCACUUAUCAAAGUCGCACUACAGCAUUCAUCAGCCAUGAUAAAACGAUUGCGUUGCACCUUUCCCAUUGAUACUAAUAGAUCUCUCAAAAUCUCUCUGUUUUCCACCUUCCGACUCCAUCAUGAGCUUAUUUCGACCUAGAAGAGCAAUUCUCAUAGAUCGAUACCACAUCGAGAAGUUAUCUGUACUUGUUAUUUGAAAUGAGAUCCUACUCGCAUCACUAGGUGCCAAAUAUAGAGGAUGAGUGACUGCAACUGAAAUUCCUUCUUCAAAUUCAUCCUCUGAUGAUACUUGAGAAGUUUCAGUCAUAGUUGCAGCUAUUUCCUGUUCAGAGUUGUCGGCCUCCAUUAUUAACUACUUAGAGCUUUAAAAUUGAGAUGCGAAGAAGAGAAUCUAAUAGAGAAGAGAAUUGGAUCCUUUUAAUUGUGAUUAGAAUUGUCAAUAAUAUAUUCUAAGAUGAUUGAUCAUAUUAACUUUUCGACUAUCUUAUUGCACGCAACAACAACAACAACAACAACCAUCACAAGUGAGGUCUGGGAAGGAUAGUAUAUACGCAGACCUUACCGCUACCCCCGAUGGAGUAGAGAGGUUGUUUCCGGAAGAUCCUCGGCUCAAGAUAAUAAAAAAAAUAAAAUGGAGAGAAUAUUAGUUUCACCAUAGAGAUCAUAGGAAAAAUAGGAACAUAAAAUGUAGAAGGAAAAAUGCAAUAUAAAAAUGAUGGCUAGUAAAUAGGUCCUGUAUCGAAAAGAGAAAAUAGUAAGACACGACAAUGCCCCUAGUUAUUUCAGACAAAAACCCUACCAGACUAGGCUCACAACAGUACAAGGUAACACAAGACUCAAUUACCUCAUAGCCUACAACCGUAAUGCUCGAUCUCCACAACUUCCUAUCAAGUGUCAUGUCCUCAAAACUCUUAAGUCUCGUCAUAUCCUGCCUGAUUACUUCUCCCCAAUAUUCCUUAGGUCUCCCUCUACCUCUUCUCGUGCCCUCCACAACCAGUCGCCCACACCUCCUUACUGGAGCAUCUGGGCUUCUCCUAUAUAUAUGUCAAACCAUCUGAGCCUCGCUUCUCACAACUUGUCAUCAAUGGGAGCUACGUGCACCUUAUCUCGAAUAUCAUCAUUUCUAAUCGUGUCCAUCCUAGUGUGCCCGCACAUCCACCUCAACAUCCUCUUAUUGCACGCAAAUAAUAUAUUAAAUUUUUUGAAUCGUCUCAUUUUUCCUAUUUUCUUUUCAAUUACUAUGCGAUUUUGAUUAACUUUUGAAAUUUUAUUUGAAUAGGUCAAAUAAGAAAAUUAAAUUUAGAAAUUCUCAUUCAUUAUAUAUACUUGCAAAUUCAUUCCACGUCCUAGGGCCUUAAUUGCUUUUUCAGGACAUCUAGUAGGUAGACUUGAGUAAUAAGGGAGAUCACACAAAUAUGACAUGUCUUUCACUUACGAUGAUAAUCCAUCAAUUAAGGUGUAUUGGAUAUUAUUUUUAAAGGAAAGAAGUCAAUGGAUCACCGCCCAAGCUAAUUUGCAGUCUUGCAGAUAUGCAUACGCUACUACUAUAUCUCUUGUCCAAUAUCUUCAUAAACUAUUGUUUUAUUCAUAAGUCAUCCACAUUUUCUGAAAGAAGAAGUUCUUAGUCCAAAUUCAAAGGAUAUUUUAUUGAGAUUAUUUAGUUAGCAUUAAAAAACCUAUACCUAAUAACACCUCUACACCCAUGGAAGUCAUAAGAUAACAGUAGCUGAAAGUCCUUAAUUAUAUUGAGGGCACGAGGAAGACCUAAGAGUCCCAUUUCAUCAAUUCAUGAGACUUGUGAUAGUUAAAAGUAAUCGAUGUGCUAACUUAUUUAUCGGAAGAAAAAGAUAAAAUGAAACUAAAAACAAGAAGAUUUGCUUUUUCCAAAAGUUUCGAGGAAAUAGAUGAAAAUAAUCUUGUUGUUCAUGACUAGCCACUUGGGAGUUUUUUUGUAGCAGACUGUUUGCGUUGAAUAAACCGGUUAGUCAGCGGCUUGCACAAAAUGGUUGCCCACGCCUCACUAUUUUGGGCCCAAAAGAGUCGGUUUCCAAGAUUUCUCACUAUCAUGCCCUUUGUCCUCUGAUUUUACACCAAGUUACACAACAAUUACUCUUUUGAGACACAUCGUGUUUGACGGUCAGUACGAUAUGGUAUUUAGGUAUUUCGAUUUGGUAUUUUUGAUAUUCGAUUUUUUAAAAUGUUAUAUUAAUACCAUACUUAUUAAAUUCGAUAUGGUUUGGUUUUUUUUUCUUUCGGCUUCUGUUUAUUCAGUAUGAAUACUAACUAGUAUAUUAAGUCAUAAACGGUAAUAUUCUUAAUUAUAGUCGGCGAAAGUACAAAACUAAAACGUUUAUUGAUAAAAGUUUUGUCCAAAACCAACAAAUACCAACCAAGAAAGAGAAAAUUGUAGAAUACAUUUGAUCAUUAGAAAUGUUUGGUUACUUGCUUAGAGUUAAUUGAUGAACUUAGAGAAUAAGGAAAAUAAAUUUUUAGAUUUCUUAUAUUUAUGUUAUAACUAAUAAUAUGUGUAUAUAUUUCUGUAUGAUAUUAGUAUUUCGGUAUUUUAUUUUACAAUACCAAAUACCAUACUCAACACUAAUUUUUUUAAAAACUUAAACCAAAUACUAUACCGAAUAUCAAAUACUUAAAUUUUUAAUUUCGAUACGAUAAUUCGGUAUUUACUAAAUUAUACAUAGCCCUGGAUAUUUACAGUAAUUGUACUAAGUUUAGCUCCAAUUUGUCUUCUAACAAUCAAUCAAGCGGUUGUAAAUUGUAAUACUUUCUUUCUUUUCUCUUUUCUUAGUUUCUCACAAUAGGCAAAAAACAUUUCUUUUUCACACACACAGACAAUAAAACAAAUUAAAUUGCCAGUUAUCACAAAGUUCUAAAUUUUGCUGUCUAUUCUAAGCGGUCGAAUUUUCUCCUAUAUAAGAAGCACCGUAGGAGCAACUGAAGCAGUCGGCUCUUCACGACAUGCCAGUUUCAGCCGUAAUAAUUUUGUCCUUGAUUUUCAACAUUAUUACAUCAAUUGCCAUUAUACCAUUUGGUAAAUAAGGGUAACUUUUGAGGUAUUUUCAAAACCUACUUUCUGUUCCCAAAUGCAUAGUACAAAAAUGUGGAACCCAUAAUUUAGCGAACAAAGGAAAUUUUGGGGGGGAUUUUGGACAGAUGCAUAAUAGUAUCUAAACAUGCGAUACAUUUGAACCUCACUGGUGAAACCCAAAAAAUAACUUCAAUGUAACAAGACGUAACACAUAUAAGAGACUCCUAUUGAAUUAGUAGCGCACGCCUCCAAUUGGCUCUACAAUUUAAUAUGCUGUAUUUACUCCUAAGUAUGCCUCUGUGCAACCACAAAGAGGUUAGACCAGUCCCAAUAGUAAUGAAUGUGAAAUCAUUAACUAGGAUAAGCAGUUAAUCCAGGAUCAAAUUUUAAGUAAUUAAUUAAUACAGUUCAAGUAAAUCUAAAGUGAAGACUUUAAUCAUUUGUUCUUUGGCUGCCAUAGCACUAACAGUUUAUGGAAAAGAAUAUGCAAUUGGUUGGGAUAUUCUCGAACUAUUGGCUGUUGGGAUUCUGAGCUCAAUUGGAUAUAUAGUAUAGCUAAGAGCAGGCAAUGGCAUACUUCGAUAACAGCUGCUGCAUUCAUAACUACAACUGCACUUAUUUGGAAGCAAGGAACCACAUUCGUUUUGAAGGUGCUACAUAUGUGGAGGAUUUGCUAUGUCGAGAGAUUGCCUUAUUGAUACAUAUUCGAGGCAGUAAAAACAAGCAAUGGCAAAUUGGACUGAGAAAGCUCAACUAUUUUCCUUAGCCUAU